RNAcentral lists this small nucleolar RNA (137 nucleotides) under Ornithorhynchus anatinus (platypus). Lineage: Eukaryota; Metazoa; Chordata; Mammalia; Monotremata; Ornithorhynchidae. The record is from RNAcentral.
CCCCUCUCAGGAUCGCAUCUGGAGAGUUUCCAGUACUCUACAGGCUCAACUAUGGGAGGGAGAGUCAAGCAGAGGCAUAUCCAUUCCAUUCCUAGCUUGGGCAGUGGCUAGCGAAUGGAAGGCAAUCUGCUACAAGU